CCACUGAAACCCACCAUCACACUGCAGAGGAGCAAGCGACCCUCAGAGAGGCCAUCCAGAGGUGCUCUGGCCAAUAGCCCUGGCUGAGAUUGGAAUGGCUGAGGGCCAGCUGGGGAUGGAAACAGUACAUGAAGGAGUCACGUGCCUGGCGAUGGUGCUCAGAGUAACGUGCCAGAGACCAGAACACAGAGCAAGACAGAGAUAUUUCUACCAGGCCCUAGAGGCAGCACACCUAGAAAGUUCUAGAAAGUUCUAGAAAGUUCUCAAUGCUGCUCGCCGGUUCAAGUGAAAUGAACACAGUCCCCGCUAUCCUGACGACUCAUCUGCCUUUGGGAUAUUACAAAAAAUAAGCCCGUAAGACAGUAGGAAAGGUAAGAUUUUUGUUUUCCUUCCUUUCUGAGUUAAGCUAACCUUAACAUUGUGAUUUUAAAAACUUUAAAAAAAACCCAGAAACCUAAGCUCAGCACCAAUAAGAUCAAGAAGCGCCUGGAGGUGAUCCCAAGUGAGACCCUCUGUCUAAAAUAAGGGAGGGGGGGAGAGAGGUUUUGUUUCUGGUAAAGUCAGAAAACGUAAGCACCAUGAAAGGCCCACCAAGUCGGUGGGCAAAACAGGCCUCCUGGCACCUAGGGUCCCUGCUCCUGGGGCUGGAAAAGAACCUCUGCCUUCUAUGUUCUCAGGCCCCUCUGGCCAUCUCCCUGGGCUGCUGGAGAGGGGUGAGGGUGUGGCAGAAGGCAAGACCACCUUUCUGCCUUUGAGAUCAUCCUUGUCCCCACAAGGAGGUAAGUCAAUAAUACCAGCUGUGUUCAGGGGCAUGGUUGGGAAGUCUGGGUGGGUGUGCAGUGGUCCCAGCCACACCGGGGUGAGUGGCCCCUGGGGGGCCAGCUGCUGUCUGCCAGGACAAGGAAACAUCACCCACACAGAAACUUCAGUGUCCUCAGAGACCCAACCUGUAAUGACCCAACCUGUAACUUCAGAUACAAGGUGGAUGGAACGCCACCACCAUGACUAGGCAUCUAAGAAUGGCCGGCUAGGGUAGCCGUCUCCUGAAGGCAGAGAGGGAGGUCCACACAGGGCCCAUGAAGCCUCCCUGAGCUCACCUUUGUGCUGAGAAGUAAUCUCAUCGCCACAAAGAACACAUGUCCGCUUUCACAACACCCUAAAGGCUGGCUCUUCUGGUUCCUUCCGUGGUGCACAGCAGAGCCCUGAAAAUCAGAUGCCUUGGGGCCAGUGGGUGGCAUGGUAGUUAAGGCACUGGACUCCCACAUGGCCAA
This is a long non-coding RNA of Tupaia belangeri chinensis (Chinese tree shrew), 1271 nucleotides long. RefSeq lists it as uncharacterized. The transcript is spliced from 3 exons. NCBI's taxonomy places the organism in Eukaryota, Metazoa, Chordata, Mammalia, Scandentia, Tupaiidae. The record is from RefSeq and is a predicted model, not a curated record.